This 253-nucleotide ribosomal RNA is filed under the name uncultured bacterium. Its description in RNAcentral is "partial 16S ribosomal RNA". It matches the Rfam family "Bacterial small subunit ribosomal RNA", at positions 524 to 776 of the family's 1533-position model. The record is from RNAcentral.
UACGUAGGGUGCAAGCGUUGUCCGGAAUUAUUGGGCGUAAAGAGCUCGUAGGCGGUUCGUCGCGUCGGCUGUGAAAUCCCGGAGCUCAACUCCGGGUCUGCAGUCGAUACGGGCGGACUUGAGUUCGGCAGGGGAGACUGGAAUUCCUGGUGUAGCGGUGAAAUGCGCAGAUAUCAGGAGGAACACCGGUGGCGAAGGCGGCACUCUGGGCCGGUACUGACGCUGAGGAGCGAAAGCGUGGGGAGCGAACCGG